UCAGAUUCUUUCUCUCUCCACUCUCUCAUCCCUCUCAUUCCUUUGCAAGCGCAGACAUCGAGCCACCAUCACCAUCCCGGUGAGACUUCAACAUCCACAUCCUAUCAUCACUACCUGUUUAUAUGACCAGAAACGAAGGGCCGAGCUUGGAGUUGGCUUCUCACUCUAAAUAGUGACAAUCACUGUUCAUCGUUUUCCCUAACGAAUCAUGGCAAAUUAUCGCUAUUCUUGACAGAAGAUGCAAAAAAGACGCAGAGUUAACAAACCCAAUUUAAGGCGAGGGAUGCCACAAGUUGUAGGCCUUUUCCGGUGAACUCUGGCCAUGACUGAUCCGGGGAAAGGUACAAUUAACAUCGGCAAUCCAUAUUUACUCGUAUGAACGGCUACGACUUUGCAAGUAUCUGUGAGUAGG
Long non-coding RNA from Malus domestica (apple), 412 nucleotides. RefSeq lists it as uncharacterized. The record is from RefSeq and is a predicted model, not a curated record. NCBI's taxonomy places the organism in Eukaryota, Viridiplantae, Streptophyta, Magnoliopsida, Rosales, Rosaceae.